CAGUAGCCGCGGUAAUACGAAGGGUGCAAGCGUUAAUCGGAAUUACUGGGCGUAAAGCGUGCGUAGGCGGUGAGUUAAGUCUGCUGUGAAAUCCCCGGGCUCAACCUGGGAAUUGCAGUGGAUACUGGGUCACUAGAGUGUGGUAGAGGAUAGUGGAAUUUCCGGUGUAGCAGUGAAAUGCGUAGAGAUCGGAAGGAAUAUCUGUGGCGAAGGCGACUAUCUGGGCCAACACUGACACUGAGGCACGAAAGCGUGGGGAGCAAACAGGAUUAGAUACCCCUGUAGUCCCUGUCUCUUAUAC
RNAcentral lists this ribosomal RNA (301 nucleotides) under uncultured bacterium. RNAcentral describes it as "partial 16S ribosomal RNA". It matches the Rfam family "Bacterial small subunit ribosomal RNA", at positions 509 to 807 of the family's 1533-position model. The record is from RNAcentral.